This 291-nucleotide long non-coding RNA is filed under the name Capra hircus (goat). RNAcentral's name for it is "lncRNA (ENSCHIG00010007830.1)". Lineage: Eukaryota; Metazoa; Chordata; Mammalia; Artiodactyla; Bovidae. The record is from RNAcentral.
UCUUGUUAACAAAUCUAAACAGUCUGCAAAGAACCUGGGAUAUCAAACAGAUACAGACCCUGCCUUCAGGCUCCCCAAAGGAGAGACAGACACAUACACAGGUAAGUACAGAGUGUGGUUCCUGCAGUAAGAGGCUAGCAUUGUCACUCCAGAGAGAAAAGCACGUAACGGGACCGGUGAACUCUGCUGUGCUGGGGAAAGGCAUUGUUUGUCUCAAGGAAAGGUCAUAGGCGAGGAAGCAUGUGAGGUGUUUUGGUGUUUCAGAGGCAUCCUGGAGUAGGAGAGGGCUUG